ACCUUUUGGGUUAGGCCGGGGUAGGGAAAUGAGGUCUCGUCAGAUCUUCGUCCUUUCCAAAAUGAGGUUUACAUCCCUAAAGACUUCAUCCCUCACGCGGCGUUGCUCCGUCAGGCUUUCGCCCAUUGCGGAAAAUUCCUCACUGCUGCCUCCCGUAGGAGUCUGGGCCGUGUCUCAGUCCCAGUGUGGCUGUCCGUCCUCUCAGACCGGCUACCCAUCAAAGCCUUGGUGGGCCGUUACCUCACCAACUAGCUAAUAGGCCGCGGGCUCAUCCA
RNAcentral lists this ribosomal RNA (275 nucleotides) under uncultured actinomycete. RNAcentral describes it as "partial 16S rRNA". The record is from RNAcentral. Lineage: Bacteria; Bacillati; Actinomycetota; Actinomycetes; Actinomycetales.